Long non-coding RNA from Metopolophium dirhodum (rose-grain aphid), 765 nucleotides. RefSeq lists it as uncharacterized. NCBI's taxonomy places the organism in Eukaryota, Metazoa, Arthropoda, Insecta, Hemiptera, Aphididae. The record is from RefSeq and is a predicted model, not a curated record. The transcript is spliced from 3 exons.
UCUAAUUUUUAAACUAACGGAGCUUAACGUUAUCUGCUGAGCAUAAAUUCGCUAUGUUUCAUGCGCGUAGCCCGUGUAGCUCUUAAUAUUAUUUUGACUCACGGCAUUAUGUCACGCACGACGCACCAACCGAAGGAUCUGGCCAUCAAAAAGUUACGAUUAUACAAUAUUGUGGUUAAUACUAUCAUACCUUAUACCUACAUUCAUGGUUAGGUAGGCACUUGGAGUGGUGGUUUUAUUAGUUAAAAUUAAAAAUAUAUGGGGAAACCGUAAAUGGGUCAGUCUCUCUCCCGGUUCCCACGGAUCACCUUUGGGAUUAUGAUUCAACAUAAUCUCCAGUUCGUACGACGUCCUCACGUGAUCCAACAGCGAUGUAGCAAAUGUCUGAACAGUAUUCCUCAUUUCCUAUUCCAUGGUGCUUAGUCGGCGAAGCUCCCAGCUUAAUUCGAAAGCGGUCAGUAGAGGAUCUCUUGAUGAUAGAGCUAUUAGGGAUGGAGACGUAAGUGCUUUGUAUGCGUUUAUUCUUGAAUGCGAGUGCCGAAGUGAAUCAUGUGUGUUUGACGUAAUACACUCGUCACAGCCACACCUGAAAUAAUAAAUUAAUAUAAUUAUAGAUAAGUACUUAGAUGUAUGCAACUUUAAGUAAAUCUAAUGACAGCAUAAAAUAACAAAAAUGUGAUGCUUUACGUAGGUAAUAGUUCGAUGAACUUUUUGCCGACCACUAAAUGGCAAUUUAUCAGUGUAAUUCAUUAAGAUCGGCUUAAG